CCGGAGGCUCGGCUCCAGCAAACACCGGGGCUGGAGAAACCGAUGCGAACGGGAUAGGCAAUAUUUUUAAAGGGUCCCAGCCCUUUCCCCUCCCGCUCUGUCUCUGGGAUUUCUGACGCUCCAAAACUUUUAUCCCUUCUGCCUGACACACGGCAUUCAUUUAGCUCUCACAGACUGGGAUCCUGCCUGCUAAAAUUCCAAACGGACCAGGAUUUCUCCCAGACACAAGCUGCAACCACUUAGAACCCCAGCUGCCUUUGACAGUGCAAAAUGCCUCUUCCCAACUGUUAUCGUGGAACUGGGCAGGUGGACUAUAACUUCCUGAAAUUUUAUGUUGCGUCAAGUAUAACACCCGAGGGUUUUUUCAGCAGAUUUGUCAUAUGACAAAAAGCAUCUGACCUGUAAAGAUGAUGUUUGAGAUUGAAGCUUCAGGGAGAUGAACACAAGCUCACAGCCAUUCAGGCCUGGCAGCGAGAGUUCUCAGGGGACACAGGUUUCUGAAAAUGGAACUGACCUUGGCAGAAGAGCAGCUGUGAAGGGAAGCAGAACAAAAACACAGAAAUGGGCAUCUGUGUGUGCACCCACUUCCUGGCAAAUCCAGAUAUCACCUGGAAAUCCUAAGUGAGGAUUUCCAGCCUUGACUCCACGGGAGACAGCCUUCUCAAAAUGGAACUGACCUUGGCAGAAGAGCAGCUGUGAAGGGAAGCAGAACAAAAACACAGGGAGAAGAACACAAACUCCCAGCAAUUCAGGCCUGGCAGUCCCCUGCAGCGAGAGCUCAUCCCACAUCUACAGAGGCAAGUCCAGCAUCUGAAAGAAAACAAACCAGAAGAAAAAGGGAGAAGAACACCAACUCACAGCCACUCAGGCCUGGCAGAACCUGCAGCGAGAGCUCAGCACACAUUGACAGAGGCAUGUCCAGCAUCUGAAAGAAGUAAAGUCAACAGCAGAAAAAGGGUCCUGUUCCUGAGAUGGGGCUCCCAUCUGCUACAACGCCAGACAGAUCAGGAUUUCUCCCAGACACAAGCUGCUUAGCACUUGGAACCCCGGCUGCCUUUGCCGUGCAAAACAGCUCUUCCCUACUGAUGUCACAGAACUGGGUACCCACCGUAACAGCCCCAGCCUCAGGCUCUGGCUGAAGCUGCAGACUCGAGGACCCCAGGACGCUCAGGAGAGGGUGACGCAGAGAGAGGAGCCCGGCGAUGGCAGCGAUGUCCCGGACAUCGAGGGAGCCUCGCUUCGCGCCCAAACCGGAUUCACCUCUCCGGGUGUCUGACAGAUAAGCGAAGGGCUGUGAUUCACAGAGGGGAUGACAGAGGGGUGCUGGGUCUGUAAUUGUCAGGAGGGGUUUUUGAGGCAGCUUUGGAGACGGGGAUGUCCAAGAAGCAGCUCCUUAGGCCCCAUGAGAGGCAAGUCUCAAUUUGAUCUCAGUGCUGAAAUGCACAGGGUAGAGCAGUUCUGGUGGGUGUCAUGACACUUGUUUCUUGUGCCCUAUGUGUCUUUUGAGUGUGUUGUAUUACAUGUCUUGAGUCUAAGCCCUUUGAGGGGCAUCUCAGAAAUUCUGGGCUAAUUUUUAGCCUCUCCACUUCCCUUGGCCUGGUGCUGGCCCAUGGGAGCGUGAGCUGGCAUGGUAAUCGCAUCUCUGCUUAGAAGCAUCCAGUCUGAUGUCUUUUAAGGUCUUCUUCUGAGCUGUAUUGACAGCUGUACACCACAAGGGUCCAUUACAGAGGUUUAGGAUGUGAAGAUAGGGAGAGGAUUCUGACCAGAAAUUUCUCAGGCAUCCAUCUCUUCAGUUCUUGGGAUUAAUGCUUCUGCUAGCAUCUUCUUCCAGCCUCAUCAUCACCCCAUCAGUCUCCCCCCAGUCAUCCCAUCUUGCAUUCUCUCAGUCCUCGUGAUCCUUCUUCCUGCUGGGAGAUUUUUUUUCCCUCCCCAUGUCCUCCCCUCGUUUGUCAUGUCCUGUGUCACGGGUGCCUGCACGCAUUUGGCCAGGAGCUGCUCUGCCCUGCUGUGUAGUCUGGGCAUAGGGGUGCUAGGACCAGUCCUGGGGACUUACUUUUUGUAAUGUGGGGUGGUUUUGGACCCUAGAUAAAAUCUGGAGGUAUAAAGUUAUCCUGCAGCACAUUUGACUUCUGUCCUCCCUUCCUUUCAGAUGCAGAUGGAUCAAAUCUGAGGCUGUGGGCCCAUCCUAGAAAAUGAAGCAGGAUAUCCACUGUCAAGGGGAAGCAGGCCAGGCAGUGCCCUUGAACUACCCUGAGAUGGCUCUGCCCAGCUGGCCAAGAGACCCAGUUCACUGCUCCUGUGAGUCCUCCGGCAGUAUUCCAGGAUUCUGAUGAAGCCUUCACCUUCUGCUAUUUGAAGAUGCCAUCCGGGCGGCCUUUGGCGAGAGCCAAGCAGUUGGGGUCCCCAAGGCAGAUUUCCAGUUCUCAGCCGCCUCCUUUCAUGGAACCUAUCCCUCAAUGUCGAGGACCAGCAGCCAGAGGAUGCGGUCAAGCAUCCUAUUCAGCGUACAGUUUCAGGUAAAGGUUGCAGUUCGCUUACCAGCUGAAGAUUGUGUGACCGUCUGUGUGUGAGAGUUUGUGUCCGUCUGCCACCGCUAGCGUAUGCCUGUGCGAGUGUGCGUGGUGACUGGUUGUAAUUUUGUGCGUAGGAGUUUUGCCUUUCAGGCUUUUCAACCAAUUUUAAAUUUAGAAUAAAAAUUUCCCAGCCAGGGUUUUUUUUUUAAUUUCCUCCCUGGCUGGAGUUUUUUUUCCCAGGUCCCGGCCGGUCUGCGCGGUGAAGUUCAUCACCAAAGUUUGGGCGCAGAACGGCCAGGGACCGGGGUUUUCGUCAGGCAGGGUGAUAUUUGAGGUUCCAGGGGAGCACAGAGAGCUGUGGUGUAAUUGGGCGCUCGAGACAAGAGCGGUGGCAGGUGAGCCGAAAGUUGUGUGCGGUGGAUAAGGGUUAUGUUUUAUGGGUUCUGAUUUUCUUCUCAUUUUAUUUAUGUAGGAAAUUGAACUGUCAUCAACUGUCGUGGUCUAGAAAGACGAUUAUGUUCUGUUACUAUGUAUGAGGUUUUAUUUUGUUUUAGCAAGAGGCAGAAAGCCCCCAGUGAUGCUGCAGCCGUCCCAGCCUUUAAAUACUUUGGGGAUGUGCUUGCCAGCAUUCCCGAAAGAGCACUGGGAAAGCACCAGGAAAUCACAGAACCGUUUAGGCUGGAAAAGAGCUCUGACAUCACCGAAUCCAAGCUGUGCCCAUCCCCACCUUGUCCCCAGCCCAGAGCCCUGAGUCCAGGACAGCUCCAGGGACCCCAAACCUCCCCGGGCAGCCCCUCCAGUGCCCGGCCUCCCUUUUCAUGUGGGAAUUCCUCCCGCACUCCCCUGGUCCAGCUCCCAUCCCAUUGCUGGAUCAGAGCCUGACCCUAUUGAAUUUUGGGGUUGUCACCACAUCCUCCAUCCCGCUUUUCAGGGCAGUGACAGCGAGUACGAGGUGGACCCGGGGCACCAGAAGGGCAUCUCCCGGGCACAGGCUUACAGCUACACCGAGAGCGAUUCGGGCGAGCCUGAGCACACCCCGCUCUCCAACAGCACCUCCACGCAGCAGGGCAGCCUGUUCCGCCCCAAAGCCAGCAGGACUCCCACCCCCCAGACCCCCGGCAACGCCCCCAGCAGCCAGCCCGGGACCCUGUACUGCCCUCCCAGCAGCCUGGCCCCCGGCUCCAGAGCUCCCCUCGCUGGGUUUUCCUCUUUCGUUUGAUAUUUAAAGAGAAGGGAAAAAAAAACCAACAGGAGAGGGGGGAAAAA
Catharus ustulatus (Swainson's thrush) is the source of this 3779-nucleotide RNA transcript. It is a transcript of the gene named protein sidekick-2-like, with no coding region annotated. The record is from RefSeq and is a predicted model, not a curated record. NCBI's taxonomy places the organism in Eukaryota, Metazoa, Chordata, Aves, Passeriformes, Turdidae. The transcript is spliced from 12 exons.